This 748-nucleotide ribosomal RNA is filed under the name uncultured cyanobacterium. Its description in RNAcentral is "bacterial SSU rRNA". It matches the Rfam family "Bacterial small subunit ribosomal RNA", at positions 8 to 796 of the family's 1533-position model. The record is from RNAcentral. Lineage: Bacteria; Bacillati; Cyanobacteriota.
AGAGUUUGAUCCUGGCUCAGGAUGAACGCUGGCGGUCUGCUUAACACAUGCAAGUCGAACGAAUCCCUUCGGGGAUGAGUGGCGGACGGGUGAGUAACGCGUGAGAAUCUACCAAAAGGACUGGGACAACCACUGGAAACGGUGGCUAAUACCGGAUGAGCCGCAACGUAAAAGAGGAAACUCGCCUUUUGAAGAGCUCGCGUCUGAUUAGCUAGUUGGUGAGGUAAAGGCUCACCAAGGCGGCGAUCAGUAGCUGGUCUGAGAGGAUGAUCAGCCACACUGGGACUGAGACACGGCCCAGACUCCUACGGGAGGCAGCAGUGGGGAAUUUUCCGCAAUGGGCGAAAGCCUGACGGAGCAAGACCGCGUGAGGGAGGAAGGCUCUUGGGUUGUAAACCUCUUUUGUCAGGGAAGAACACAAUGACGGUACCUGAAGAAUCAGCAUCGGCUAACUCCGUGCCAGCAGCCGCGGUAAUACGGAGGAUGCAAGCGUUAUCCGGAAUUAUUGGGCGUAAAGCGUCCGCAGGUGGCACUUCAAGUCUGCUGUCAAAGACCGGGGCUUAACCCUGGAAAGGCAGUGGAAACUGAAGCGCUAGAGUGUGGCAGGGGUAGAGGGAAUUCCCGGUGUAGCGGUGAAAUGCGUAGAGAUCGGGAAGAACAUCGGUGGCGAAAGCGCUCUGCUGGACCAUAACUGACACUCAGGGACGAAAGCUAGGGGAGCGAAUGGGAUUAGAUACCCCAGUAGUCC